GAUAGAUCAUAAUUGAAAUCACUUUAAAUGUUUCACUAAUCAUUAUGACAUUAUUAAUAACUUUAAUAUUAUUACUCAACAUUAAAAAAACUCUUACCAUUUACUACACAAAUAACAAUUCCACGGACAUAUUUGAAGUGUUCAAAGAAAAAUACAAUAAGAGGUAUGUAAAUGCAGUGGAAGAAGAAAAUCGUUUAAAAACGUUUGUUAAGAAUUUAAACAUUGUCGACAAACUAAAUGAAAAUCAAACCGAUCGCGCAACAUUUUUUAUGCUCAACCAAUACGCAGACUUAAGUCCUGAAGUGAUUGAAGAACAAUAUGCUAUUAAAGUACGACCAUUUUAUAAUGUUAAUAAUAAAGAUGAAGGGGAAAAUGUGGCCAGACAAAAGCACAAAGAAUUGGAUACAAGUCAACUUUUCAAUUUAGAUAAUGCUUCAGAACUUUAUAAGGAUUUUAUGAAAAACUACAGUAAAAACUAUACUAAAAAACGAGAUCAGGAGAAACAUUUUUAUCGAUUCGUGAAAACGCUUGUUGAAAUAAAUAGAAAUAUGUUUAAUGGGAACACAACUUUAGCGCUUGAUGAAAAUGCAGACGUUAUCAAAGAACCGAAUGAGUAUUUUUAUUAAAACUAUGAAAAGUGCAUUUCUGUUAAAAAUAAAUAUUCUUACAAUAUUACGGAUUAUGAGUUAUCUGCUA
Nymphalis io (European peacock) is the source of this 696-nucleotide long non-coding RNA. RefSeq lists it as uncharacterized. The transcript is spliced from 2 exons. The record is from RefSeq and is a predicted model, not a curated record. NCBI's taxonomy places the organism in Eukaryota, Metazoa, Arthropoda, Insecta, Lepidoptera, Nymphalidae.